CGCAAAACAGUGCCCCCUGAAAUCUGAUUAAAUCGGUAAAUGCAUUAUGGGCACCCUGUUCCCAAAUUCGUUUUACU
RNAcentral lists this transfer RNA (77 nucleotides) under Shewanella putrefaciens. RNAcentral describes it as "tRNA-Pro". Lineage: Bacteria; Pseudomonadati; Pseudomonadota; Gammaproteobacteria; Alteromonadales; Shewanellaceae. The record is from RNAcentral.